GAUGGGGAGCGAAAUUUAGUAGCGAAGUAGCUGAUUUCACACUGUCAAGAAAAGUCUCUAUCGAGGUUAAAGGUACCCGUACCGCAAACCGACACAGGUGGGUGAGGAGAGUAUCCUAAGGCCAGCGAGAGAACUGUUGUUAAGGAACUCGGCAAAAUGACCCCGUAACUUAGGGAUAAGGGGUGCCACCAUCAGGUGGCCGCAGAGAAUAGGCCCAAGCGACUGUUUACCAAAAACAUAGGUUUCUGCUAAGUCGCAAGACGAUGUAUAGGAGCUGACGCCUGCCCGGUGCUGGAAGGUUAAGGGGAUCUGUUAGAG
RNAcentral lists this ribosomal RNA (318 nucleotides) under Clostridioides difficile. RNAcentral's name for it is "bacterial LSU rRNA". It matches the Rfam family "Bacterial large subunit ribosomal RNA", at positions 1565 to 1895 of the family's 2925-position model. The record is from RNAcentral. Lineage: Bacteria; Bacillati; Bacillota; Clostridia; Peptostreptococcales; Peptostreptococcaceae.